Molecule: ribosomal RNA, 278 nt
Filed under: uncultured bacterium
Lineage: Bacteria
Description: partial 16S ribosomal RNA
Rfam family: Bacterial small subunit ribosomal RNA
Source: RNAcentral
CCUUGCCGCCGGCGACCGGCGCGACGGGUGAGUAACGCGUAUGCGACCUGCCCGUUGCAGGGGGGAUAAUCGGGAGAAAUCCCGUCUAAUACCGCGUAACGCCGUGGGAGGCCAUCCUCCCGCGGCCAAAGGGGCGACCCGGUCACGGAUGGGCAUGCGGCGCAUUAGGUAGUUGGUGGGGCAACGGCCCACCAAGCCGACGAUGCGUAGGGGUUCUGAGAGGAAGGUCCCCCACAUUGGAACUGAGACACGGUCCAAACUCCUACGGAAGGCAGCAG